CAGUCGCCGCGGUAAAACGGAGGGGGCUAGCGUUGUUCGGAAUUACUGGGCGUAAAGCGCACGUAGGCGGCCUUGUAAGUUAGAGGUGAAAGCCCGGGGCUCAACCCCGGAAUUGCCUUUAAGACUGCAGAGCUAGCAGGUGAGAGAGGUGAGUGGAAUUCCGAGUGUAGAGGUGAAAUUCGUAGAUAUUCGGAAGAACACCAGUGGCGAAGGCGGCUCACUGGCUCAUACUGGACGCUGAGGUGCGAAAGCGUGGGGAGCAAACAGGAUUAGAUACCCCCGUAGUCCCUGUCUCUUAUAC
Molecule: ribosomal RNA, 301 nt
Filed under: uncultured bacterium
Lineage: Bacteria
Description: partial 16S ribosomal RNA
Rfam family: Bacterial small subunit ribosomal RNA
Source: RNAcentral